UGUGACUUGGUGUAAUUGGCAACACGCCACUCUCAUAAGGUGGAAGAUUUUGGUUCGAAUCCGGAAGUCGCAA
This 73-nucleotide transfer RNA is filed under the name Puia sp. RNAcentral describes it as "tRNA-Met". It matches the Rfam family "tRNA". From Rfam's summary of the family: Transfer RNA (tRNA) molecules are approximately 80 nucleotides in length. Their secondary structure includes four short double-helical elements and three loops (D, anti-codon, and T loops). Lineage: Bacteria; Pseudomonadati; Bacteroidota; Chitinophagia; Chitinophagales; Chitinophagaceae. The record is from RNAcentral.